Molecule: ribosomal RNA, 490 nt
Filed under: Veillonella parvula
Lineage: Bacteria; Bacillati; Bacillota; Negativicutes; Veillonellales; Veillonellaceae
Description: bacterial SSU rRNA
Rfam family: Bacterial small subunit ribosomal RNA
Source: RNAcentral
GACGAACGCUGGCGGCGUGCUUAACACAUGCAAGUCGAACGAAGAGCGAUGGAAGCUUGCUUCUAUCAAUCUUAGUGGCGAACGGGUGAGUAACGCGUAAUCAACCUGCCCUUCAGAGGGGGACAACAGUUGGAAACGACUGCUAAUACCGCAUACGAUCUAAUCUCGGCAUCGAGGAUAGAUGAAAGGUGGCCUCUACAUGUAAGCUAUCACUGAAGGAGGGGAUUGCGUCUGAUUAGCUAGUUGGAGGGGUAACGGCCCACCAAGGCGAUGAUCAGUAGCCGGUCUGAGAGGAUGAACGGCCACAUUGGGACUGAGACACGGCCCAGACUCCUACGGGAGGCAGCAGUGGGGAAUCUUCCGCAAUGGACGAAAGUCUGACGGAGCAACGCCGCGUGAGUGAUGACGGCCUUCGGGUUGUAAAGCUCUGUUAAUCGGGACGAAAGGCCUUCUUGCGAAUAGUGAGAAGGAUUGACGGUACCGGAUAGAA